ACUUUCUAUAUCUCACAAUAUUUUUUAAUUCUCCAUUUAUAGUUAUACAUUUUGCAAAGUAUAAAUUGAUUUUAUUCAUUUGAAAUUCUCACCAAAGUUCAUAUGUCCCAAAAAUUUUAAACAAGAAAGUCUAGUUCAAAUUGUCAAGAGCCUUUUUUUAAUCUAGAAAGAUCCAACUUGUUUUGUCACUCCAAUCUUUGUUUUUCUAAAAGAAAAAGCAGUCAGAUCAAGAUAAUAGAUCAGCAGAGAUGUAACUCUAAGCUCACUGAAAGAAAUGUCAGAUUCCUAGAUGAAUAUUACACCAAACUGGAGGCAAGGAAAGCAAAUCAACAUGAAAUAAAAGGUCCUGCAUGGAGACAGCAUGAAUGUUAUAUAUCCAAAGAGGAGCACUGAUGCAAGGGAAUUUAAACUAUGUGGUUAUGUAUUCAAUAACCUUUAUUCUUAAGAUAAAAUAUGCUUGACCACACUGAAUGAAAAUACUAAGAUGUUAUUUUAUUGCUUUGAAGUUUGACUUUAACCUUUCAUUCUAUUCUGUUUGGUUGGGAGUGGUCCAGAAUAAAGGCACCGGAGGAGAUACUCUAUGAGGUCAACACCUGUGGAAAGGGAAGUUUCUCACCUGCAUGUAGCUCAGCAGAGAGGAAAGGAAAGAAAAUGAGUCAGCAAGAAGAAAUACACCCAACUGGCUUGUAUAAAUAUAUUUAUGGUUAUAAAUAUAGCUACAUCAUAAAUACAGCACCACCUGCUGACCAUACAGGUGGCAUUUGGAUCCUCAAAAGCUGUCCGGUUACUUGGACAAGAAUGUACAUGUCAUAGAUUCAUUCCACAUCUUUCUGUUUUAUCAAUUUACACAUUUCUGAAACCAAGACUCUUAAAAUGUUGGUCAGGAAGUUUUUAAAGUUUAUAAAAUGUAUUUUGAGAUGAAAAUGCAUUUUCAACUCAAUUAACUGAAUGUACACAAAUAAGAUUAUUUGCAGAAUUAUUUUUACAUAACUAAUUUGCAGCUAUGAUCAUAGUCACGAAGUUUAAAUUGAAUAAUUGUUAUCAAUAGAAAUAUUGCUGCUAGUGAAUGGAUUAUAAUUUUAAAAUUAUUUGUUAAAGAAGAAAAUUCAAUUAAAAUACUGUGAAGUAAAAACUUGAUUACACAUUCCUACAAAACUAUUUCACAGAAUCCAGGGAGGGGAAAACAGAUUUCUGUAACUGCCAGCAGAGCCACCAAAAGCACCUCAUUGUGCUCUCUUCUGCUUUAUUAGCUGGCUAUCAGCCUAUAAAAGUUGGGUUGGAGAAUUAAGAUUAAUUUCUAUACUAAAUAUAGUUCCAUCAUUUCUGUAUUAAUUUCUAUGACAUAAUAUGUCAAUUAAGCCACUUAAGAAAUCAAGCAAAUGACAGCACUUAGCUGACUUUGGCUGGUUUCAGAAAAGUUUAGUUUAGUUGGACCUGAUUAAUACUUGUAUAGAAGACAACCAGAACAUCCAGGACUGCAGGCUAAACUAGGAAUCUAUAGGACUCUAAAUUAGGAAUCUGGAGCCUAGCCCAUGUAGCCACCAGGUGUUGAACACAAUUCAAAAUAAUCUUUCCUUUUAUACUGCAUCUACUUCGAUAGUAACCAAAAAGAGACAAUUGUCUAUGCUUGUUUUUCUGAUAGUAGUUAAUUAAAUGAAGGUUCAUUUAUAAAGAAAUGCUUUCACAAGAAAGCACCAUCAUUUUCCAGUUUCACAGAUUUUAUUCAUUUGGGAAAUUCCAAAAAUACUUAGUCAAUUCUUCCUUUCAUGAGAUCUUGCCAGAACAAGUUUGCAAAAUACUUGUUUGUCAACUAUCUGCAGAAAUCAGAGUUGGACAAAAGGAGGCUUCCAUCUUCCUAUAAUAUUUUAUAGGAACUGCAUUCUGUCAACACUGUGACAAUGGAUGUUCCCACUCUGACAACUAAGGGAAAUUGCAGCCAUUUUUACUCUGCUUACAGCUUGCUUUUUCUGCUGUUUAGAAAUCAGAUGUAAAAGGAGGGAUGGGGUGAAUGCUUGAGCUCAAAUAGCCAUAACAAUAAUGCAGCUUCAUGGGAAUUCAAGGACGCAAACCGAUAACGUUUUGGCAGGCUGAGGAGCUGGAGAGGAAGCCCGCGCUUCAGGCUAAUUGGAGAAUGUGAUCUAUGACUGCUUCAUGGGGGUGGGGAUUGCAACUUGUUACUUUGUAUCUGGGGGAAGGGAAUUUAGUUUUGAGUUCAACUAUGUAGUGCCGAUACUUUGUUUCCUGAAUAAAAUGUUCUUUAAGGAAGAACUCUUGCCUUGAAGUUCUUUAAUUGGUAUCAUCUAUUAGAACCAUGACACAUUCAUUCUUUACCCAUUUUAAUGCUUUCCACCCAAUAUUUGGUUAAUUUUCACGCAUAAAUUAUUAUUUUUAAUUGUAGUUUUGAAAAGUAUUUUGGUAUGUUAAAAUACUAUUCAAAACCUCAACUAAGAAGUACAAUCAAUAUGUGAAAAUUAACCAAAUAUUGGGUGGAAAGCAAUACAUUUUGGAAUAUUAAAAUUUUGAGAGAAGUUACAACAAAAGAUAUUGCACAGAAUUUUGGUAAGAGCCUCAUUUUGGAGAAGGUGAAAAGAGCAUGAAGGCUUUCAGAACUGAAUUGGAAUAAAUUCUAAUUUACCAUUUCUGCUUGCAGGGAAACUAUUAACUGUCUUACAUAGUUACCAUGUUUUGAUAUUAACAAUAAAGGUAUGUUUAUUUGUUUAUUUGUCAUGCUCAUUCUCAUCUCUUUCAUAAGCCAACCAUCUGUCUCAUGCCUUCAGGACAUUAAACACCAUUGUCAAUAUUUGAACUGAGCCUAGAAAUAGAGUAACAGGUAAUAUAGAAGCGAUGUUAUCACAUUAUUUUAUUAGCUAAUUCAAUAGUAAUUUGCAGCUAUAUUUGGAAGUUGGGUAUCUCACUAUAUCUAGAACAUCAUUAACUAUUUCUCAUUGUGGAAGAUUUAUUGCUUGAAAACUACAGGAUGGUUCCCUAUAGUUUCUGAAUUAAUGCAAUCCAGAAGAACAAUGUUACCAUGUUUUCUGGAAUAUUUUAUAGGGAGGUGCAACAGUUGUCAGUUUUGCACAAUCUUAUCACAAUGACUUAAGGCCCUAGACACAUUCUCAGAAAACAAAGUGAUAAAUGACUAUCAUCACUUCAAAGAAGGCCACUUCAAGAAAGAAAUACUACAAAUACUACUGGAACUCUAUGGUUGUAGGGUACAAUAUUAGAAUCCUGAAAACCUGACAAAAUUCCCUUCUGUCAUUAAAGAGAAUAAAAGCAGAUUAUCUUGAA
This is a long non-coding RNA of Crotalus tigris (Tiger rattlesnake), 3288 nucleotides long. RefSeq lists it as uncharacterized. Lineage: Eukaryota; Metazoa; Chordata; Lepidosauria; Squamata; Viperidae. The transcript is spliced from 3 exons. The record is from RefSeq and is a predicted model, not a curated record.